CCUACGGGAGGCAGCAGUGAGGAAUAUUGGACAAUGGGCGCGAGCCUGAACCAGCGAAGUCGCGUGAGGGAUGAAGGUUCUAUGGAUCGUAAACCUCUUUUAUAAGGGAAUAAAGUGUGGGACGUGUCCUAUUUUGUAUGUACCUUAUGAAGAAGGAUCGGCUAACUCCGUGCCAGCAGCCGCGGUAAUACGGAGGAUCCGAGCGUUAACCGGAUUUAGUGGGUUUAAAGGGUGCGUAGGCGGCCGUUUAAGUCAGCGGUGAAAGUCUGUGGCGCAACCAUAGAAUUGCCGUUGAAACUGGGGGGCUUGAGUAUGUUUGAGGCAGGCGGAAUGCGUGGUGUAGCGGUGAAAUGCUUAGAUAUCACGCAGAACCCCGAUUGCGAAGGCAGCCUGCCAAGCCAUGACUGACGCUGAUGCACGAAAGCGUGGGGAUCAAACAGGAUUAGAUACCCUGGUAGUC
RNAcentral lists this ribosomal RNA (460 nucleotides) under uncultured bacterium. Its description in RNAcentral is "partial 16S ribosomal RNA". It matches the Rfam family "Bacterial small subunit ribosomal RNA", at positions 338 to 795 of the family's 1533-position model. The record is from RNAcentral.